GCUCCGGUAGUGUAGCUCGGCCAAUCAUGUAGGGCUCUCAAUCCUACGACACGGGUUCAAAUCCCGUCCGGAGCA
This 75-nucleotide transfer RNA is filed under the name Candidatus Methanoliparum thermophilum. RNAcentral's name for it is "tRNA-Glu". It matches the Rfam family "tRNA". From Rfam's summary of the family: Transfer RNA (tRNA) molecules are approximately 80 nucleotides in length. Their secondary structure includes four short double-helical elements and three loops (D, anti-codon, and T loops). RNAcentral also lists the same sequence under 2 other names. The record is from RNAcentral. Lineage: Archaea; Methanobacteriati; Methanobacteriota; Candidatus Methanoliparia; Candidatus Methanoliparales; Candidatus Methanoliparaceae.